UCUUUGUUGCCAAAUACGUUUCUUCAAGCACCCGAACCUAGGCCGCGUGCUUGACCACGCUGGAGUAGUCUGUGGAGUUACCGCUUUCUUUGUUGCCAUCACAGUCUCUUUUCCGCUCUGCCUCAAGCUCAUUUCCUGGAUCGUAUAUGCUCUUUCAUUGCUAGCAAUUUUCGUUUGCAAUUGCUGAAUCCUAGCAGACGAUUGUCUCUGUCAGUCAGGGAUUGGAAAUAAGCAAAGAAGCAUGGAAUGGAAUAACAGAUACAUCUCUCAUUGAUAACAUCUAAAGUAACUUCAAAAGCCUGAUAAGUGAUGAUCGCUUGGCCAGUUGGGAUGAUCUUCGGUGCUAUUGCUGGAAUAGGACAACCAACUUCAGUGGAUAAUUAUACUUGAUUGACUGGCAUAAGCAAAUAAUAUGAAGUACCAAGCUACUUCAAAGGUAUUGAUCAUUCUC
Molecule: non-coding RNA, 451 nt
Organism: Camellia sinensis
Lineage: Eukaryota; Viridiplantae; Streptophyta; Magnoliopsida; Ericales; Theaceae
Source: RefSeq, a predicted model, not a curated record